Molecule: small nucleolar RNA, 138 nt
Organism: Python bivittatus (Burmese python)
Lineage: Eukaryota; Metazoa; Chordata; Lepidosauria; Squamata; Pythonidae
Product: small nucleolar RNA SNORA49
Source: RefSeq, a predicted model, not a curated record
UUUCCUCAGCCUUACUCCAGGGACUCCACAACCCAUGGAGUGUCUUGGCAUUGCCUGAGGAUACAGUGAAAGUGUGCCAAACUCGCUGUCCAGAAGGGUGCUUGGUUCCCUUUGAGGCCUAGAGUUGGAGCAAACAUA